This 1430-nucleotide unclassified non-coding RNA is filed under the name Zea mays. RNAcentral describes it as "misc RNA Zm00001eb250690". The record is from RNAcentral. Lineage: Eukaryota; Viridiplantae; Streptophyta; Magnoliopsida; Poales; Poaceae.
CCAACAUCCACCAGACCACCGCUGGUCCAACCAAUCGCGCCAAGAGGCCGAGACCAAACGACGCGCCGGCGCACACGCAAACCAACAACUAUUGCCGAUGUUUCCGCGUUACUCCCCGCACUCCUGCUCCGCUCGCCGCUUUUUAUAUCGACCUGCCCCGGCUCAGUCGGACAGUCCUCCACGCACGCACGCACGCACGACCAGUUGCCACGGCAGACCACCCCGCCCAGCGGCCAGCUUGCUCGCCACGACCACGAUGGGCUUCCCCGUGGGGUACUCGGAGUCGGAGAUGCUGCUCCCGCGCGUGCUGCUGCAGGUGCUCCUCCUCCUCGGCCACUUCCACCGCUUCCUCCUCUGGGCCUUCCACGCCGUGGGGCUCGGCGACCUGAUCGACCUCGGCUGCAACUACCCGCCGCCCUCCGCGUCCACGGCGCAGGAGAUGAUGGAGCACCAGCACCAGGGGCGCGACGACGUGGCCUCCCCGCUGCAGCACCAGCGCCCGGAGUUCAGGCCCGUCGCGGCGGCGCUCAUCGAGGAGGCGCUCCCCGUGGUGCGGUUCGACGAGCUGUGCGGCGCGGCGUGCGGGGGCGGCGACUGCGCGGUGUGCCUGGGCGGCAUCGGCGGCGGCGACGAGGUGCGGCGGCUCGGCAACUGCCGCCACGCCUUCCACCGGGCCUGCCUGGACCGCUGGAUGGCGCACGACCAGCGCACCUGCCCGCUCUGCCGCGCGCCGCUCAUCCCAUGGGCCGCCGACGCCGACUACGACAUGUCCUAUCCGUCUCCCCUGCCGCCCACGCCACUGCGGCGGCCUCACGAGCUGCUGCUGCUGCUUACCGGCCUGGGCGGCUUCCAGUGAUGCGCCUGCGCGUGGGCAGCGUGGCUGGCACUUGGGCAGGCCGGCCACGCGAAUCCGAUCCGUGGCGAGGCAAACCGCGUGCUCAUGUGCGGCCCAGCACGCCCGGUCGGUCAGGCGGGUGACCGCCGCCAAACCUGCUCAGUUGCCAGCCGUACACGCUUGGCCUCGUCUUCGGUCGUGUCUCCGACUCCGUUGGUUUUUUACAGAGGCUCCCAGUCCCAGGUCAAACAAAAAAAGAGGCGAAACAGACAAAGCACUCGGAAAUUAGGCAGGUACUGUACUAGGUUGAUCUGUAGGCCGAUUGGGCGACUCCAAAUCUGUGGAGCUGUGAAUCCUUUGGCAGAUUAAACUAAAAAUUGUCUCUAUAGAUCAGACCAUCAGAUCCCGUGCAGUCUGGCUCCAUUUGUGUUGCGCCAUUCCGCAUCGAUCGAUCGAUCACUCACUCGCUCAGUCACUCGAAUCCUGACCCUGUCCAGAAAGUACACUACUGCCAUGCUGAAGAGGGAAGACAAAUCUAAAGUCGACAUCUAGGACCUCCAUCUGGUUUAACAAUUAACAGUUUUAUUAAGCGAAC